Molecule: transfer RNA, 72 nt
Organism: Camelus ferus (Wild Bactrian camel)
Lineage: Eukaryota; Metazoa; Chordata; Mammalia; Artiodactyla; Camelidae
Rfam family: tRNA
About the family: Transfer RNA (tRNA) molecules are approximately 80 nucleotides in length.
Source: Rfam
AGGGGUAUAGCUCAGUGGUAGAGCACAUGGUUAGCAGGCACGAGGCCCUGGGUUCAAUCCCCAGUACCUCCA